AAAUUUAAGAAUAAUUUUUUAUAUAUAAAAGUUUUGCAAAUUGUAUCAUUCUCUAACACAUUUAUAUCUAUAGUUUAAUUAUAUAUAUAGUAACAUUAUACAUACCACAUAACAUUUUUGGUUUUAUAUAAUCUUUUCUAAAUUAGGAUGAUUUGAUAUGUUUAAUAUUAGUGGUCUUAAAAAUAAUAAAUUAAAGAUUUAACCCGUAUUGAAACGGUGGAUUAAUUAUAUUUUACUUUUUUAUUAAUGUUGAUUCAAAAACCCGUCCCUCCAAAUCCGUUUUGCCAAAAAGCUAUUUAUUUUGUUAAUAUUAAUUUUAUUAAUAUUAAUUUUAUUAAUAUUAAUUUUAUUAAUGAUAUGACUCUGAAUUAGAAUCUAAACAUUUUAGAUAAUAACAUAUGAGUGCACCAUAUUUAUUUAAUAGGAGAAUAUACCAUAUGACCCGAAUGCACUUUUAUCCAAAUCCACCAAAAAAGUCUUGCAAAAAUACUAUAGAGAUAAGAAACGAUAGUCGGUUUUGAUAGGUAUAAGAUUAGCAAAUAUAUUAGUUAGCUUAAAUUAGUUAAAGAAUACAAAUUGAAAAGGUAUAUUACACUUUAUUUGAAUAUAGUAUCAAAACUUAUAUAACACAGAGAUCUGAUAAUUUUUUAAUUGAUGAAUACUUUUUUGUGCUAAUUUUUAUGUGAUUAAGAUUUAAUUGAUUUCGUAUAUAAAAUAUUAAAUUGACUUAUUUGUUUAUAAUUUGGUAACAUAUAGAUAUUUGAAUAUUCAAUAUAUUUUGCUUCAGUUUAAGAAGUCUUUGAUGAUCCGUCUUUAGAUCCAAUAAGCCCUAUAAUCUAGAUAUUAACCUGCGGUAUAUAUUUUAGUUAAACUAAAAAAUU
Molecule: small RNA, 881 nt
Filed under: Arabidopsis thaliana (thale cress)
Lineage: Eukaryota; Viridiplantae; Streptophyta; Magnoliopsida; Brassicales; Brassicaceae
Description: ATSL140340
Source: RNAcentral